ACCGAUACAAUAACUUAAAAGUUACAUUCAACAAAUUCUUAGUUUGUAAAGGAAACCAAAUAAAACAGUAAAAUGAAGUAAUGUAUGCUAAGGGUAUUACAGAAAGAUAUUACAAGAGGCCAGGAAAGAUAACUCUUCCUCUGUCCUCUUUUACGUCCCACUUCUUGUUUCCCCUUUCUUCCUCUUACUUGGCUUGUUUCAUUUUUACACUGGGUACAUUUUCUGUCUCAGUCUGACUUUGCUCUCUUUCAUCUUCCUUGUAACUGCUUUCCUUUAGUUAGACCUUGUCUUCCCCUCAACUUUCCCCUGAAAGUUUUCCCUCUUGGAACUUUCUCUCGGUCUGUCCCUCUGAAUAAUCCUCAUGAAUUCAUCUGAAUUUAGGUUUUAGAGUAGAAUGUUCUGGAUGAAAUCCAGCUUGCUUCAGAGAACUGCAAUAGGAAGAACAAUUCCAACUACAGGUCCUGCUGACUACCAUGCUCUAAACUUUCCAGGUUUCCCAUGAUUUUCUCUUAGCACAAGAUCCUUCCCAAUUACCCUCAUUUUCCUUUUUUCUAUCAAGUCUUCUCUCCUCCAACAUAACCACACACCUUGUGGCUCUUUCAGAGCACUCAUCACAUUUUACCCGGGUUUUAUCACUUUUUGUGUUAUUUUACCUUUGAGUUGUAAAUUUUCAGGGAAGGUGUAUAAAUUAUUCAUAUGCAAAAAUGUCUUACACAAAGCUGUGCACAUUGAAAGUUACUGAAUUAACCUAUUAAUUAACACACUAUUAAGUUCCAUUUUAGUAGAUCUUUAAGAUCAUAAAAUCUUUCUUCCAAAAGCAUUUUCUAUUACAUUUUUUGAAAUUGGUGAGCACCAAAUAAUUGAGUUAAAACUCAAUCUGUAAACCCUAUAAAACACAGAACUCAUCUGGAUUAGAAAGAACCUAUAGAAUUAAAAUAAUUGUGUUUAAAACCUUCUUGUGGUCCUUUGACCAAGUCAAACUUAACUGUUGCCCACAACAGAAUAUGAAAUUAUUUCACAUUUUAAUUCAUCAAAAUAACAAAUUCAGCAUUUUGGACAUUGUUACUCAUUCCAGAUACAAGUUCUGAACAGAAAGUCCAAGGUAAGGACAUUACUAUUCUAUGUUUAUCCAUUCAUGAACAUAAGUUAUACAUUAAGGUUUCAGUAGGGUUUGGGGAGGAUAAAAUAUAAACAGAUUGGUAUCUGUGAUAACAGAAAUAGUGACAUCAUUACACUAGGAAACCAAAAUGAGUUUGGAUCUUAGCCUCCUCAAGCAAGCACAAAAUUUUAAUAUUGAAUUCUAUAAUAAACAUAGUCCUGUCUCCCUCUGUGUAUUUCUCAUUCGGAGUGUUUGCUCCAGGUGUUUCCUAAUAUCGAGAACAUCAAUGAAAGUUCUUUAUCAUUUUGUCCCUUAAAAUCUUCAAGUGUUUGGGGGAAAAAAAAUGACUUUAAAGGACUUCAAAAUGUGUAUGUGUGUGUGGUUUGUGUAUUUUCCUCAUAGGCUCAAGAAUAAAACUAAAAAUAAACACAGUCCAGGGGAGGCAAGCUGAUUUUAGAAUAAGGCAAUAAGGCUCAGAUAAUCGUUGUGUUGUUAGAAGGGGUGUGCCCACUGGCACAGAAUCUCACAGGGAGAGGUUAGACAUCCAGGAUGUUUACGAGUAAAAGUAGAAGGUGGAAAAAGUAGAACACACAAGGCCCAGUGUCCUGAGAGCCUGGCCAGGGCCCAGUCCAAAAUAAUUACUACUGAUGAAGGAGCCGUUUUGUUCCAAACUGUGUCCUGCUUUAAAUAAUAAAUUUAAUCAUCAUCAUUAUUAUAAAGCAAUUCAUCUAAAUAUGAAAUAUGCCAUAUAAAGCUAUUUACUUAUAUUGACAAUAUCUGUAUUUUUUCCCCCUGUUUUCAUCCAAGGUCAUUAGCAUCCUAAUCAACAGGAAUUUUUGUUAACCAAAUUUGUGAGCAGCCAGGUGCAGGCAGGAUCCUUAUUUAAGCAGCCAGAACAUUACUUGCUGCAGUUAAUAGAGAAAUAUAAGCUGAUGCCCAAGGGCAAGAAAUAAAAAUUAAAUUAAGAAAUUUAAAGGACUUCUCAGCUGCAGCGAAUGCCCACAAACUUGUUUGACUUCAUCUGCUCGCUGACAGGGAAACCAGGACUGAACUUGUCAGAAGGUGAGAGGAACUCGGCCAGGGCGGGGCGCGCAGUGGCCUUGAGCGAGAGUGGAGUUUGGAGAGAGGAAGAUAAAAGAAGGAGAAGCUAGAGGAACCGGCCCCGAAGCCUGGGAGACAGACAUGACAAAGGUCAAAGCCAGUGGGGUAAGAUUGCUCCGACUUUGCAACGCCGGGCGCUCGCAGCGGCAUUUGCAGGAGAGUUCUGAUCUCCCUGUUGCUCUGUAUUUCGCUUGGCAUAAAGAUAGAUCUAUGCCAUUGGAAAUGCAGCUUGAGAAACCUAAACCUAUAAAGCCAGUCACAUUUUCUCCACAGGCAUCAAAAUGAAUCCAAGCUGAUGCUAGAAUCCAACUGAUGCUCUCAGAAGGAAGUGCACAGCAGAUGAACACUGAAGAGAGAGUUCAGGAAGCCUUAUGUUGUUUUGGUUCACCAACUGCCUAACUGAACAAAGAGAAAUGUGAGACCAAAAUUUCCUGAGUUAAGUUCUGUAAAUGGUGAGGCAUACCUGAUGUAUCACUCCUGGAACCAGAAACUUGGCUACAAGUGGUAGAUGUCAGCUUUCAAUCCUCUUAUCUCACCAUAGAGAUAUUCAUCUAAAACCAACCUCAUAACUCCUUGAUAACAAAAAGGAAAAGUCAACUAUGAUAUGGAGUAAAACCUAUGCUAUGCUGUGUCAGCCAAAUUGAUUUGGUGUUAUUUAUAAAAAGUAUACACAUGCCACUGCAAGCUGACACUCAUUGUGAGUGUUUUGGUGUGUUAUCUUUUAAUAAAUGCUAUGAAUAUUAAAUUUCUAA
Long non-coding RNA from Sus scrofa (pig), 2952 nucleotides. RefSeq lists it as uncharacterized. NCBI's taxonomy places the organism in Eukaryota, Metazoa, Chordata, Mammalia, Artiodactyla, Suidae. The record is from RefSeq and is a predicted model, not a curated record.